RNAcentral lists this transfer RNA (69 nucleotides) under Erysipelotrichaceae bacterium. Its description in RNAcentral is "tRNA-Ala". It matches the Rfam family "tRNA". Rfam says of the family: Transfer RNA (tRNA) molecules are approximately 80 nucleotides in length. Their secondary structure includes four short double-helical elements and three loops (D, anti-codon, and T loops). Lineage: Bacteria; Bacillati; Bacillota; Erysipelotrichia; Erysipelotrichales; Erysipelotrichaceae. The record is from RNAcentral.
GGAGCUUUAGCUCAGGAGAGCGCAUGGUUUGCAAUCAUGAGGUCGCCGGUUCGAUCCUGCUAAGCUCCA